UACGAAGGGGACUAGCGUUGUUCGGAUUUACUGGGCGUAAAGCGCGCGUAGGCGGAUCGCUAAGUCAGGGGUGAAAUCCCAGGGCUCAACCCUGGAACUGCCUUUGAUACUGACGAUCUGGAGAUCGGGAGAGGUUGGUGGAAUUCCGAGUGUAGAGGUGAAAUUCGUAGAUAUUCGGAGGAACACCAGAAGCGAAGGCGGCCAACUGGCCCGAUACUGACGCUGAGGCACGAAAGCGUGGGGAGCAAACAGGA
RNAcentral lists this ribosomal RNA (254 nucleotides) under uncultured bacterium. Its description in RNAcentral is "partial 16S ribosomal RNA". It matches the Rfam family "Bacterial small subunit ribosomal RNA", at positions 524 to 777 of the family's 1533-position model. The record is from RNAcentral.